Molecule: long non-coding RNA, 566 nt
Filed under: Pan troglodytes (chimpanzee)
Lineage: Eukaryota; Metazoa; Chordata; Mammalia; Primates; Hominidae
Description: long non-coding RNA NONPTRT001590
Source: RNAcentral
GACACCUCCAGGUCUGUAGCUCAGUAACCACUAAAGAGCUUGGCUAUAAUCCUUUUCCCUGAAAGGCCUUGCCGGGAAGUGCCGAACAUCACCUGAAGGCAGCAGGAGGUAGAAGAGUGUGUGGAAAGGAGUUCUGUAUGCAGCUGAAGGGUAACACCCCUUGGGAGCUUUUGCCUUGUCUGGCUGACGCCUUGGCAAUCGCAAGUGACAGUGAUGGAGAGCCACCUCCUCUGGAAUGCAUCAUGGAACAGAAAGGGAAAAGCCAGGCAUUUGUAGUCCUCCUGCCACAGAUGACCAGAAUGACCUCACCCAGGACAAACGGCGACAGAUUUAGGAAUUCAAGCCAGAUUUUCUGACUCCCAGGCACCUGCUCUCUCCUUUCGAGUGUUCGACUCCACUCUCAGUCACUCGUCACUCCUCCCAGAAGGACAAAUGUGCAGCUUCUAUGUCUUGGAUUUCAAAUAAAAGACGAGGAACUUGGUGAAAUGAGGUGGUCUUUGCCUUCCGCGUCACUCUCUGCUCCUCCUGGCAAGAGGCCCCAUUUUUCUUGCCACUGAGGUUAAGUG